Harpia harpyja (harpy eagle) is the source of this 5193-nucleotide RNA transcript. It is a transcript of the gene named CRK proto-oncogene, adaptor protein, with no coding region annotated. The record is from RefSeq and is a predicted model, not a curated record. The transcript has 5 exons. Lineage: Eukaryota; Metazoa; Chordata; Aves; Accipitriformes; Accipitridae.
GGGCCGCCAUUUUGGGUGGUAGGGCUGGGCGCGGAGCGGGGCACCGCGGGCGGCGGCGGCCCGCGGUGGGGGGGGGAAGCGAGUGCGGCCUGCGGGCGGGCGGCCCCCAUGGCCGGGCAGUUCGACUCCGAGGACCGGGCGAGCUGGUACUGGGGGCGGCUGAGCCGGGCCGAGGCGGUGUCGCUGCUGCAGGGGCAGCGCCACGGGACCUUCCUAGUGCGCGACUCGGGCACCAUCCCCGGCGACUUCGUGCUCUCGGUGUCCGAGAGCUCCCGCGUCUCGCACUACAUCGUCAACAGCCUGGGGCCGGCGGGAGGCCGGCGGGCCGGCGGCGAGGGCCCUGGGGCCCCGGGGUUGAAUCCCACCAGAUUUCGAAUAGGUGACCAAGAGUUUGAAUCUUUGCCAUCUUUACUGGAAUUCUACAAAAUACACUAUUUGGACACUACAACCUUGAUAGAACCAGUUUCCCGAUCCAGGCAGAAUAGUGGUGUUAUCCUCAGGCAGGAGGAAGCUGAGUAUGUGCGAGCUCUCUUUGACUUUAAUGGAAAUGAUGAAGAAGAUCUUCCAUUUAAGAAAGGAGACAUACUGAGAAUCCGGGAUAAACCUGAAGAGCAAUGGUGGAAUGCAGAAGACAGCGAAGGAAAGAGGGGAAUGAUACCUGUUCCUUACGUCGAGAAGUAUAGACCUUCCUCUGCUUCAGUAUCUACUCUGAUUGGAGGUAACCAGGAUAGUUCCCACCCACAACCACUGGGUGGGCCGGAGCCAGGGCCCUAUGCCCAGCCCAGCAUCAACACUCCGCUCCCUAACCUUCAGAAUGGCCCUAUUUAUGCCCGGGUUAUCCAGAAGCGAGUCCCUAAUGCCUACGACAAGACAGCCUUGGCUUUGGAGAAUUGGCAAAUGCAGCACAUUCUACAGAUCUGAUAAUUGAUGUGCAAUCUGGGAGGUGUGAAAUUUCUUCCUGUUGUAGUAGCAGAACUCUGCCAUCUUGACCUUACCAAAGAGGAGUACUUGGAAUAAAACCACAGCAUACAGAAGUCUUCACAUGAACCUUCAUUUUUGCUUUGAAGCGUAUGGGAUAUAUUUAGUUUUAAAACUUCUGAUGAAGACUGAGACAAAUCUGGCUUUAUAGCAGGGUACAGUGUUGUUCUUGAGGUGCUGUGCUUGGUGGGAUGAUGCACAAUAGACUAACAAUACCGUAAGUCAAUGUUAAAAGUGAGGAGAAUUCAGAGAGAACAUCCACUUCUAGUCUAAAUGUUUUAAAAUUCCAGCACUUGUAAUAAUGAGUAAUUUUUUUGAAAGGUUCUCUGCAUUGUCUUCAGGAGAGUAUUUGAACUGUAGAUUAAUAUGCAGAGUUUCAAAGCAGAUCUAGAAAGAUCUCUAAGUUAUUAAGGAACUAAUGGAGCCAUUUUAUUAACCUAGCAUUUGUGAAAUGACCCAUGCUUACUUAAAGUCAGUCCUGCUUUGAUAGGUGUAAAGGUAGAUAUAUAUAAAUGAAAUGAGAAGUUACAUAUAAAUGAAAUGUGAAUGAAAGAUUGUAUCAGAAAGAGAGAGUGGUUGCUAAAUGAAAUUACCGUAAUGGUAAAAAAGGAAUAUUUUUUAUUCCUCAGAGGUCUUUCCUCUUUCAACAAUUAUUGAAAUGCAGAUUUUGAGUGUAGCUUCUUAGAGUAAGGAGAAUUCAUAUAUGGGUGUCCCUUUGCUGCAAUGACCCUGAAACACCCCUGAAAACCAAACAAACAGCUACAGGAUGCUUCUGGGAGCGAGGGAAUGUCACAAGCAUCCCAUAUUCUUACUCACUAUCAUUGCACUGUUGAACCCACCUUUUCAGGUCGGUGAGCUGGUAAAGGUCACAAAGAUUAACGUGAGUGGUCAGUGGGAAGGAGAAUGUAAUGGCAGACGUGGUCACUUUCCAUUCACACAUGUCCACCUGCUGGAUCAACAGAAUCCUGAUGAGGACUUCAGCUGAGUGUGGCUCAACAGUUGCGCUUACAGAUGGGAACAAUCUCAACUUGUUUUUAUUGCAGAUGCCAUCAAGACUAUGUUCUGACAGAUGUUGAAAGCGGUAUUGCUUGUAUAAGCAUUCUGAUAACCUGCAAACCCCUGGGACUGAACACCACCAUUCCUUAAUUAAGGGUCAUGUAAUUCAGGGUACGACAGUAGAUAACUUGUGUGUCAAGUGGCAGAACUAGUACAUGAUUAUAGGUUGUAAUGCCUGCUUAUGUCCAUGUGCACAGCAGACUGGACCUUGCCAGCGGUAGCAGUUGGAGAAAGCAGUCAUGUAGAUGUUAUGAUAACAUUUAUAGCUCUCUCCGGUCCUAUUGCUUAUGUUGCUUCUUCCUCAGGCAAUGAACAUCAACCUUAGACAAUUCAAUACAUAGAUAGAAAUUUCACAAAUUUAUCCUGGAGCUUUCUCCAUUUUUUUUUUUUUUCCAUCCUGAAUUCUCUGUCCUAGAAAGGCUAUAUAGUACUUUGCAUGGUCAGUUAACUAUGCACAGUACAGAUUUAUGUAGAGCCCAUUGGGGACAGCCUUUUGAUUUACAGAUGCUUACCAUUUUAAUGGUAAAUGACAGAUCAAAUCAACCUCGGAAUUCUAGAAGCUUGUGGACACUAGAUUGAUUUCUUCAGUACUGUUGAUGCUUCAAAUAUAGCAGCUGAUUUUAAAUUAAGAUUUCUAUUAACACACCAGUAUCUCUUUUUAUCCACAAAUAUAAGGCUUAUGGAAGUGUAAACAUCCAUAUCAGUGCUGAAAAAUACGUGCGUAGCACUUUAAUGCAUAGCUUUAAAGCAGUGUUUGAUUCACUAAAUAUACUAAAAUAUUGACACUGCUUUCCAAUAAAAUUAAAUUAUAUAGGGCCAGUUUAAUUUUUCUAGAAUUCUUCAAUGCUUCUAUUGUACAAUACUCUUACAGUACAAAUCAGCGUCAAACAUGGUGAACUGACAAACCAAAUAUUACUUUUAUUUUAAAGUUACUCUGGGGACUCUUCUGGUUUAAUUCCCAUCUGUAAAAUAUUUGAUAGUGAAUUCAUGAGGAUUUUAAUUUUAAUAAACUAAUGGAAAAUACUUGUGUGCUUCUGGAUUGAUUCUCAAAAGGCAUAAUAGAGUAAAUAAGGCUUCCUAGCUCUUAAUGAAAAUCAGUGCAUUGAAUAGGUGGUAUUAUGCACUGCUUGGUUUUGGUUGUUUUUUUUUUUUUUUUAGUCUGUUCUUCUAAUUAUCUGGUUUUCUCUAACAUAAAUCAGAAUGGAUACAGUAAGUUUUGUAAACUGAAAUUAAACACUGAAAUAACUAUCCCUUGCCUGUACCCUGGAUUGUUUUCCAAGCACAGCACUCUAGUGACCAAACUUAAGCAAACAAAUUUUGUAACUUUGACUACAGUGUAAUCCAUACAGAACAGUUUUUCUAAAUAGUAUCAAACUGAAAAUGUUAUUUUGGUUGAUACAAACCAUGUGACCAGAAUGGCUCAUUGGUUGUAAAUGCUGCGAGGCCUAGUUGCCACUGCAAAGGCUAUUGCUGCAAGGCACCGACCUGUACAACAGAAUACUGGUAACACUUUACCUCAGAACUGUGUAACAUGCUGGAAAUUACAAUAUUUCUGUUAUAUUUAAGUACUAGUUGUUUUACUUCAAAACUAAUCCAUCAGCAAGUCUGACUAAUUUUCAGGUAAUGGGCACUCAUUAAUUCUGUAAACUAACGCCAAUGUACAUUAAUCAUGCUUUUCCAUCACCAAUUGCAUAAGCACUACUGAAGAUUAUUAGAAAACUGACAGUUGUGACAGUGGUGUAAGAAUGGUAACAAAGGAAUUGCAGUACUAUUCUAGCUUGGAUUGCUAUUCUGGUUAGGGUGAUACGCCAGUGAUUGUGGGAUCUCUUCUAGCUUAGUACAAAAUUUACUUUGAGGAAAAAAAUUGAGAAACUAGGUUCUGUAACACAUUGGUUUCUUUAAGGCUAAUUUGUAUUUUUCCUCUGACCUUGAUAUUUACUAUGGCUGAUUUUUUUUUUUUUUUUCAAUAGCUGCAAUCUAAAUAACAGACUUAAUACUGAGUUUAUCAGUUGCCCAUAUAUGCUUGUAUUUUUCUUCAGGUAUUGCAAAAGAAACAUAAUGAACUGUGUGUUCUUAGAGUAACACAGUUUGUUCUGAAGUAUUUUUUCCAAUUGCAGUUAAUGAAAGCCCGUAUGUUUGUACCUUUCCAAUCAGCAAUUAUUUUAAGAUACCAAAAGAACAUUUUAUUAUGCAAAUCUUGCCUUUUUAAUAUGAAAGACAUAAAUUAAAUUAACUAGCAAAUACCCUGCAAACUUUGUAGAUGUGUUUUUGUUAAGACUGUAUAAAUUGCAAAUAUUUGUACACUUUGAAAGAGCAAAAAAAAAAGAAACUAGAGGAGUCUUAAUAGCUGCUGUUGCACUAGAAUCCUAAGUUCUCGUCAAGCAGUUUUUCUUAGUCAACUGAUACAUUAAUGCAACUGUUUUCCACUAUUCAGUUCUAAGCCGAAAUGUGAUUUUGUUUCAUAGGUGAUAGAAAUGAGUAUGUUUGCAUUUGGACGAAAUAGACAUUUCAACUUACCAAGCUCUUAAAGGAAAAUAGGUAGAACAUAUGUUCAUGAACAUGUAGAUUAAAUCCUUUUGUGGCCUUUGUUUAUCCUCUUCUAUUUGUUCCCUCCCUUCUCCCUGAUGCGUGCAAAAAAAUCAUUGCUAAGAAUGUUGGUCACAAUCUUUUGUCUCUACUUGGCUGUGUUUUUGGUCUCUUGUGCAUAGGCAGGUGUUAGAACUAGAAUAAUCAUUUCUAGAAAUACACCGUGAAAGCAGAAUGCUCAAUUACACUGUGUUCUUCUGGUGCAUUUACACAUUAUAUCACACUAAAAAGUACAACUGGCUGCUAUGGUUUUUUAAUAUAUAUUUCAUUUUGGUAAACCCCAGCCUUUUUACUAAUAUUUGACCUGGUUAAAUCUCGUUAAUCUGUUUGAAUUGUAUUUGUUAAUAAUGCAAAUAUUUCUAAUCAUCUUAAGAGUAAAACACUUCAUUUUUGUUAAUGGUUUUGGGGAAGGAUUCUAACCAAACCAGUUUGAAGAAAAAUAUGAACAUGUGCCAUUGUAUUAUAACACUAUCCACUUUCUUGACAGUUAAAGUCUUUUUUUAUUUUUUUUGUAGCAUGUAAUGUAUAUGUUCAUAGUACGUGAAGUAAAUAAAAGUAUAGCCAAAACUUUGA